Long non-coding RNA from Crotalus tigris (Tiger rattlesnake), 798 nucleotides. RefSeq lists it as uncharacterized. The transcript has 3 exons. The record is from RefSeq and is a predicted model, not a curated record. NCBI's taxonomy places the organism in Eukaryota, Metazoa, Chordata, Lepidosauria, Squamata, Viperidae.
UUCAGGAAGGUGAUAGUAGAAGAUGUAAAAACACAUUCAGUUGCAGCUGGGAGAGGAAGGAAAUGCUGGGAAGGUAACUGAUAACAGGCUUUCGUACCCUUCUCUCCAGCAACAUCAGAUUUUGUGUGGAUCAGACUAUAGACUGCCUUCUUCAAAUAUUCAAAUCAAAGUCCAAAUUGAGAUUCUCCUGCGCAGGAAUGGAACCAGAAUCGGUGAUUCAGUUCUUCCACCCUUUAAAAUGCCAAGCGUGACUACAUUCCUCUAUCACAGAGAUGGUACAGUGAUUACUGUAGCGCAUCAUUUAUCCAAACAGCCUGGAGGACCAUUGGAAUAAUCAGAAGCUCAGAUAAACAGCAGUGCUCUUUACAAGGAUUUGCCAUGAGUCAGGCAUCUACCCGGUGUAGAGAAACAGAGAAGGGAUUGCAGGCAUCCUCCUGUAAAACAUCAAAACAAAGGAAGCACACAAUAUGCUCUAAAUUUCACCCUGCCUUUUAAAAUGAAUUGAAAUGAUUACUUCCUGGGGUAUGUGUGUUUUACAUUGCCUAGUAUGAAAUAUUUGAUAUCAUAACGAAUUUAGAAACCUUCUAAUUGAUUCCUGUAACAGAUUUGCAUGUGCAUUUUUCCGACCCUUGAUGAUGGCGGCUGGUUUUUGAAGUGUCGUGGGACUAACUGGUAACUUUGUUUAUGUAUUUUAUCUGUGAUUAACUCGUUUCACUUUGUUUUAGGACCCAGGAUAAAAAAGCCUGGUUGGUCACAAGGAUGUUUCACCUGUAAUGUGCAAGGUGGAUUAGCAUAGUG